GUGAAAUUAGAGUACUGUAACU
This 22-nucleotide microRNA is filed under the name Anolis carolinensis (green anole). RNAcentral's name for it is "aca-miR-5434". Lineage: Eukaryota; Metazoa; Chordata; Lepidosauria; Squamata; Anolidae. The record is from miRBase by way of RNAcentral.